RNAcentral lists this ribosomal RNA (515 nucleotides) under Thalassospira sp. Its description in RNAcentral is "bacterial SSU rRNA". It matches the Rfam family "Bacterial small subunit ribosomal RNA", at positions 35 to 587 of the family's 1533-position model. Lineage: Bacteria; Pseudomonadati; Pseudomonadota; Alphaproteobacteria; Rhodospirillales; Thalassospiraceae. The record is from RNAcentral.
GUUUGUAUGCGGCGGCUACCAUGCAGUCGUACGAGAAGGUUCCUUCGGGAACUGGAGAGUGGCGCACGGGUGAGUAACGCGUGGGGACCUACCUCUUAGUGGGGGAUAACGGUUGGAAACGACCGCUAAUACCGCAUACGCCCUUCGGGGGAAAGAUUUAUCGCUAAGAGAUGGACCCGCGUUGGAUUAGAUAGUUGGUGAGGUAACGGCUCACCAAGUCAGCGAUCCAUAGCUGGUUUGAGAGGAUGAUCAGCCACACUGGGACUGAGACACGGCCCAGACUCCUACGGGAGGCAGCAGUGGGGAAUAUUGGACAAUGGGCGCAAGCCUGAUCCAGCCAUGCCGCGUGAGUGAAGAAGGCCUUCGGGUUGUAAAGCUCUUUCAGAUGCGAAGAUGAUGACGGUAACAUCAGAAGAAGCCCCGGCUAAUUUCGUGCCAGCAGCCGCGGUAAUACGAAAGGGGCAAGCGUUGUUCGGAUUUACUGGGCGUAAAGGGCACGCAGGCGGUCCUGCCAG